GUGCCAGCAGCCGCGGUAAUACGGAGGGUGCAAGCGUUAUCCGGAUUCACUGGGUUUAAAGGGUGCGUAGGCGGGCAGAUAAGUCAGUGGUGAAAUCUCUGGGCUUAACCCAGAAACUGCCGUUGAUACUAUUUGUCUUGAAUAUCAUGGAGGUAAGCGGAAUAUGUCAUGUAGCGGUGAAAUGCUUAGAUAUGACAUAGAACACCGAUAGCGAAGGCAGCUUACUACAUGUUAAUUGACGCUGAGGCACGAAAGCGUGGGGAGCAAACAGGAUUAGAUACCCGCGUAGUCC
Molecule: ribosomal RNA, 292 nt
Filed under: uncultured bacterium
Lineage: Bacteria
Description: partial 16S ribosomal RNA
Rfam family: Bacterial small subunit ribosomal RNA
Source: RNAcentral